RNAcentral lists this ribosomal RNA (411 nucleotides) under Rhizophagus sp. CSD-2020a. RNAcentral describes it as "partial large subunit ribosomal RNA". The record is from RNAcentral. Lineage: Eukaryota; Fungi; Glomeromycota; Glomeromycetes; Glomerales; Glomeraceae.
AGAGUUAAACAGUACGUGAAAUUGUUGAAAGGGAAACGAUUGAAGCCAGUCGUACCUGCGGACAAUCAGCCUUCCGUGUGUGAUUACGUGAUACUUGAGGAGCUAAACGCACUCCUGUUUGCUUAUUCGUGCUCGUGGGUGUACUUGUCCGUGUGGUAGGUUAACAUCAAUUUCGGGCAUCAUAAAAUGGUUGGAGGAAUGUGGCUUCGACCUCGGUUGAAGUGUUAUAGCCUUCGGCAGAUGUGGUGAUCGGGAUUGAGGAUUGCAACGGAUACCCUUUGGGGCUACCUGUCUGAUCUCUGAUGGUUACUCUGGUGCCGAAAGCUUGCUUACGGACAUCAAAGUUGACUGCCAAUAGGUUAGAAUGGGAUAAAUUCGUUAAGGAUGUUGACGUAAUGGCUUUAAACGACC